GACGAACGCUGGCGGCGUGCUUAACACAUGCAAGUCGAACGGUGAAGCGCCUUCCUUUUUGGUGGGUGUGGAUGAGUGGCGAACGGGUGAGUAACACGUGAGUAACCUGCCCCCUUCUUCUGGAUAACCGCAUGAAAGUGUGGCUAAUACGGGAUUUUCUGGGUCUGUCGCAUGAUGGGUCUGGGAAAGAUAUUGUUUCGGUGGGGGAUGGGCUCGCGGCCUAUCAGCUUGUUGGUGGGGUGAUGGCCUACCAAGGCGGUGACGGGUAGCCGGCCUGAGAGGGUGGACGGUCACACUGGGACUGAGACACGGCCCAGACUCCUACGGGAGGCAGCAGUGGGGAAUAUUGCACAAUGGGCGCAAGCCUGAUGCAGCGACGCCGCGUGAGGGAUGGAGGCCUUCGGGUUGUGAACCUCUUUCGCCAGUGAAGCAGGCCUGCCUCGUUUGUGGGUGGGUUGACGGUAGCUGGAGAAGAAGCGCCGGCUAACUACGUG
This 494-nucleotide ribosomal RNA is filed under the name uncultured bacterium. RNAcentral's name for it is "partial 16S ribosomal RNA". It matches the Rfam family "Bacterial small subunit ribosomal RNA", at positions 28 to 507 of the family's 1533-position model. The record is from RNAcentral.